AUAGCCGCAGUAUUCUGACUGUGCUAAGGUAGCAUGAUAAUUUGUCUCUUAAUUAGAGACUAGUAUGAAAGAGGUGUCAAUGCUCCGCCUAUCCUCGCUAAUUAAACGGAAAUUAAUAUUUAUGUCAAAAAGCAUAAAUACUUAGAAAGACGAGAAGACCCUAUAAAGCUUUACUCCUCCUGACGGGUAAAAUCCCAGAAUUUUUCAAAUCUGUUUGCGAGUGGUUAAGCUGGGGCGGCAUCUAAAUUUCCUAAGAAAAUUAAACAUAAAUUUAUGAGCUUAAAGAUCUUAAAGUGAGAUAUAAAAUAAGCUACUUUAGGGAUAACAGCACAAUUUUUUCAUAUAGAUCUUAUAGAAGAAAAAGAGUUGUGACCUCGAUGUUGAAUUGAAGAGCCUGGUUUAAGCAAAAAUAAAUUAAGGGAGUCUGUUCGACUUUUAAACCUUCA
This 446-nucleotide ribosomal RNA is filed under the name Rapaniscus sp. RNAcentral's name for it is "partial 16S ribosomal RNA". It matches the Rfam family "Archaeal large subunit ribosomal RNA", at positions 2004 to 2667 of the family's 2987-position model. Lineage: Eukaryota; Metazoa; Arthropoda; Malacostraca; Isopoda; Nannoniscidae. The record is from RNAcentral.